RNAcentral lists this microRNA precursor (72 nucleotides) under Dracunculus medinensis (Guinea worm). RNAcentral describes it as "mir-153 microRNA precursor family". It matches the Rfam family "mir-153 microRNA precursor family". Lineage: Eukaryota; Metazoa; Nematoda; Chromadorea; Rhabditida; Dracunculidae. The record is from Rfam by way of RNAcentral.
UCGGUCAUCAUUUUUGUGAAUGAGCAAUUUUGAGUUUAAGUUCAAUUGCAUAGUCACAAAAGUGAUGGAUGC